AACCAGACUCCUACGGGAGGCAGCAGUGAGGAAUAUUGGUCAAUGGGAGAGAUCCUGAACCAGCCAAGCCGCGUGAGGGAAGACGGCCCUAUGGGUUGUAAACCUCUUUUGUCGGAGAACAAAACCCGGGACGUGUCCCGGACUGCGUGUAUCCGAAGAAAAAGCAUCGGCUAACUCCGUGCCAGCAGCCGCGGUAAUACGGAGGAUGCGAGCGUUAUCCGGAUUUAUUGGGUUUAAAGGGUGCGUAGGCGGUCCGUUAAGUCAGCGGUAAAAUCGCGGGGCUCAACCUCGCUCCGCCGUUGAAACUGGCGUUCUUGAGUGGGCGAGAAGUAUGCGGAAUGCGUGGUGUAGCGGUGAAAUGCAUAGAUAUCACGCAGAACUCCGAUUGCGAAGGCAGCGCACCGGCGCCCUACUGACGCUCAGGCACGAAAGCGUGGGUAUCGAACAGGAUUAGAUACCCUGGUAA
This 466-nucleotide ribosomal RNA is filed under the name uncultured bacterium. RNAcentral's name for it is "bacterial SSU rRNA". It matches the Rfam family "Bacterial small subunit ribosomal RNA", at positions 329 to 793 of the family's 1533-position model. The record is from RNAcentral.